AGUGAACGCUGGCGGUAGGCCUAACACAUGCAAGUCGAACGGCAGCACAGUAAGAGCUUGCUCUUACGGGUGGCGAGUGGCGGACGGGUGAGGAAUACAUCGGAAUCUACUUUUUCGUGGGGGAUAACGUAGGGAAACUUACGCUAAUACCGCAUACGACCUACGGGUGAAAGCAGGGGAUCUUCGGACCUUGCGCGAUUGAAUGAGCCGAUGUCGGAUUAGCUAGUUGGCGGGGUAAAGGCCCACCAAGGCGACGAUCCGUAGCUGGUCUGAGAGGAUGAACAGCCACACUGGAACCGAGACACGGUCCAGACCCCUACGGGAGGCAGCAGUGGGGAAUAUUGGACAAUAGGCGCAAGCCUGAUCCAGCCAUACCGCGUGGGGGAAGAAGGCCUUCGGGUUGUAAAGCCCUCUUUGUUGGGAAAGAAAAGCAGCAGGUUAAUACCCCGCUGUUCUGACGGUACCCAAAGAAUAAGCACCGGCUAACUUCGUG
This 493-nucleotide ribosomal RNA is filed under the name uncultured bacterium. RNAcentral describes it as "partial 16S ribosomal RNA". It matches the Rfam family "Bacterial small subunit ribosomal RNA", at positions 29 to 507 of the family's 1533-position model. The record is from RNAcentral.